CCUACGGGUGGCAGCAGUGGGGAAUAUUGCACAAUGGGGGGAACCCUGAUGCAGCGACGCCGCGUGAGUGAAGAAGUAUUUCGGUAUGUAAAGCUCUAUCAGCAGGAACGAGACAAGACGGUACCUGACUAAGAAGCCCCGGCUAACUACGUGCCAGCAGCCGCGGUAAUACGUAGGGGGCAAGCGUUAUCCGGAAUCACUGGGUGGAAAGGGAGCGUAGACGGCUGAGCAAGCCUGAAGUGAAAGGCGGGGGCCCAACCCCCGGACUGCUUUGGGAACUGUACGGCUGGAGUGCAGGAGAGGUAAGUGGAAUUCCUAGUGUAGCGGUGAAAUGCGUAGAUAUUAGGAGGAACACCAGUGGCGAAGGCGGCUUACUGGACUGUAACUGACGUUGAGGCUCGAAAGCGUGGGGAGCAAACAGGAUUAGAUACCCCUGUAGUC
RNAcentral lists this ribosomal RNA (441 nucleotides) under uncultured bacterium. Its description in RNAcentral is "partial 16S ribosomal RNA". It matches the Rfam family "Bacterial small subunit ribosomal RNA", at positions 338 to 795 of the family's 1533-position model. The record is from RNAcentral.